UACGUAGGUGGCGAGCGUUGUCCGGAUUUAUUGGGCGUAAAGCGCGCGCAGGCGGUGCGGUAAGUCUGUCGUGAAAUCUCCCGGCUCAACUGGGAGGGUGCGGUGGAGACUGCCGGGCUAGAGGCACUCAGAGGCCGGUGGAAUUCCCGGUGUAGUGGUGAAAUGCGCAGAUAUCAGGAGGAACACCGGUGGCGAAGGCGGGUCUCUGGGCCGAUACUGACGCUGAGGAGCGAAAGCGUGGGGAGCGAACAGG
This 253-nucleotide ribosomal RNA is filed under the name uncultured bacterium. RNAcentral describes it as "partial 16S ribosomal RNA". It matches the Rfam family "Bacterial small subunit ribosomal RNA", at positions 524 to 776 of the family's 1533-position model. The record is from RNAcentral.